GAUUCAGGGUGAUCUGUGCUAUGGCAGAGGUUGGUGCUGGAGCAGCUUUUGCAGUGGAACUUGUAGGACAAGUACGUGUUUAAAAAUCAAGAGAAAAGGAAGGCUAAGGGAUGAGCAAGUGCGAAGCUUGGGGAGGAAGCCAGCGCCGCAGAUGUUCUUGCACUGAGGUCUGUGGGGUGACAGAAGUCUCUGCUUUCCCUGCUUCUGCUGUUCCAGAGGCUUAGGGCCUGGCCUGUCUAUGGCCCUGCCUGGCACCGCGCCAGGGCCGCCACAGGCAGCCGAGAGCAUGGACCACUCUCAGCCCUGGCUGGAGCUGAGGAGGAAGCCUCAGACACCAGGCAUCUGUGGUGGCGUGGGCUCUAAGGAUGGCUCCAUGGUUCAUGGGGACGACAGUCAGCCAGACACUGCCCCCACCACAGCCUGGGGGGAGGGGGUCCCUGCCACAGGGCCCAUCGCUGCCACAUCAGGACGGCCUGCCAUCCCACCAGUCUCCAGAUGUGGGAACUGAAGCCAGAUGAGAGAGCCUUACCCCAGGCAGGCAGGAAGACUGCAAUCCUGUAACAGGAUCCAGUCCCCAGCCUCUGGCCUGGAGAACCGCCAAGGUCAAAGCGCCUGCCUUACGUUGACCUCUGUGACCUUGAUACUUGUACCUGAGUUCCUGCUCUGCGCUCCAGUCACCACUUGUCCUCGGGCCCAGGUGGUCCUGGGUUCUAGAAGAAAGCAGGGUGAGCAAGCCACAAGGAGCAAGCCAGUAAGCAGCACCCCUCCAUGGCCCCUGCAUCAGCUUUUGCCUGCAAGCUCUUGCCCUGUUUGAGUUCCUGUCCUGAUUUCCUUAAGUGAUGAGCAAUGAUGUAUCUGAAUAUAGAACUCUCAGCUCCUUCUCCAGAACCAUGUCUGCCUGCGUGCCACCAUGCUUCCCCUGAUGAUGACAAUGGCCUGAACCUUGAAAACUGUGCUGGGAAUAAAGGUGCGCUCCACCACCACCCAGCUGAGUAUAAGGACAUCCAUUGAUUACGUUCUUCGAAGCAGGGAGACACGCACUGUAAGUCCUGCCCUCUCCUGGCUGGGAUCCUGGGCUGUAUAAACAGAGAAAUGGAACUAAGCAGCUGCGAACAUUUACCACUCAGUUCCUUGACCAAAGAACUUAUGUGACUUGUUGCUUCAAAGUCCUUCUGUCUUGAGGGGGGCGUGGCGGUGCACCGCUUUAGUCCCAGCCUAUGGGAGGCAGAGGCAGGUGGGUCUCUUGAGUUGGAAGCCAGCCUGGUCUACAGAGUGAGUUUCAGGACAGCCUGGAUACACGGAGAGACCCUGUCUCAGAAAAGAAAAACUCCUCCUGCUGGAGCCCCCCGCCACGCUGAGCUGUGGCUCAGAACGAGCCCUCUCUCCGUCAGCCUGCUCUUGCCAGCUGUUUCAUCGCAGCGACAGAAAAGCCAGUGAUACAGUGUGCUCUUUAUCUGAUUUUUAAAACUGCAGCUUAACUUGUUUUUUUAAGAGACGACAAGAAGCGCCGUUUUUUUUUCUUAGAAGAAGCAAGGCCUCUGAUCUCUCGAAGCACCAGUUCAUGACUACAGGAGACAUUUUAGCAAAAGAGAAGCAAAAGUGUUUUGGUUUUUUGUUUGUUUUUUCACAAAAUCAAUGUCUGCAGAUGCUUUCUUUGUGCUUCACAUUAUCUAAUUGAGACCUAGAACAUGUGUUAUUAAAGGGACUGCAGAGACGGCUCCUACAUACAGCUAUGCACUGCCACCUUCGCGGAGCACCCUUGUUCGCUUUCCAGCAUCCAUGGAGAGCAGCUCACAAUGACCUGUAACUCCUGCCCGAAAGACUCCAUGCACAUUGGCACUCAUGUGCACAUACAUGUAUACGUACACUCAGACAUAGUACAAGUACACAUACAUACAUGGA
Molecule: long non-coding RNA, 1902 nt
Organism: Psammomys obesus (fat sand rat)
Lineage: Eukaryota; Metazoa; Chordata; Mammalia; Rodentia; Muridae
Exons: 4
Source: RefSeq, a predicted model, not a curated record